UCCUGUCAUAAUCACACUUCAUAUCAGUCCCACGCGCUCACCAAUCAUGAUAAUCACACGUCCUCCAUUUUCUGACUAGCUCGUCAAUUCAUAAAGUUAUCGUCAGGGAUGCACUUCACUCGUUGAAACCCGCUUUUCGACACUCACCUCAGAGGCUUAUACCCUGAAAAUGGCGGAUUUCGAAGAUGCCCAGAAGCCUAACGGCGGCUUCCUGGAGGUGGAUGGGGGCGAUGACCUCACUCUCUACCAUGUUCUCCACCGUCUGAUGGCCGCGAUCUUCUUCCCGGAUCCCACUUCCAGUGCUUCGCUGCUGCGCCGGGUCAAGAUCUCCGUUGCCGACAACGUCCCUCUGCUUCGACAAGCUUCCAAAAACACCGCCCGGAA
This 384-nucleotide long non-coding RNA is filed under the name Vitis vinifera (wine grape). RNAcentral's name for it is "long non-coding RNA (VVIN_LNC001084)". The record is from RNAcentral. Lineage: Eukaryota; Viridiplantae; Streptophyta; Magnoliopsida; Vitales; Vitaceae.